UAAAAAUAAAGCAUGAGGAGAG
RNAcentral lists this non-coding RNA (22 nucleotides) under Rattus norvegicus (Norway rat). The record is from RNAcentral. Lineage: Eukaryota; Metazoa; Chordata; Mammalia; Rodentia; Muridae.